RNAcentral lists this ribosomal RNA (478 nucleotides) under uncultured bacterium. RNAcentral describes it as "partial 16S ribosomal RNA". It matches the Rfam family "Bacterial small subunit ribosomal RNA", at positions 28 to 523 of the family's 1533-position model. The record is from RNAcentral.
GACGAACGCUGGCGGCGUGCCUAACACUUGCAAGUCGAGCGAUGAAGCUCCUUCGGGAGUGGAAUAGCGGCGGACGGGUGAGUAACACGUGGGUAACCUGCCUCAUAGAGGGGAAUAGCCUUCCGAAAGGGAGAUUAAUACCGCAUAACAUAACUUUAUCGCAUGGUAGAGUUAUCAAAGGAGCAAUCCGCUAUGAGAUGGACCCACGGCGCAUUAGCUAGUUGGUGUGGUAACGGCUCACCAAGGCGACGAUGCGUAGCCGACCUGAGAGGGUGAUCGGCCACAUUGGAACUGAGACACGGUCCAGACUCCUACGGGAGGCAGCAGUGGGGAAUAUUGCGCAAUGGGGGAAACCCUGACGCAGCAACGCCGCGUGAGUGAAGAAGGCCUUAGGGUUGUAAAGCUCUGUCAUAUGGGAAGAUAAUGACGGUACCAUAAGAGGAAGCCACGGCUAACUACGUGCCAGCCGCCGCAGUAA